AGGACGAACGCUGGCGGCGUGCUUAACACAUGCAAGUUGAACGGUAUGACAUGGAAGCUUGCUGAAGUGUCAUAUAGUAGCGGACGGGUGAGUAAUGCAUGAGAAGCUGCCAUUGGGAGGGGGACAACAGUUGGAAACGGCUGCUAAUACCCCGUAUGCCGGAGGGUGAAAGGGAGUAAUCCGCCCGAUGAGGUGCUCAUGUCCUAUCAGCUGGUUGGUGGGGUAACGGCCUACCAAGGCGACGACGGGUAGCCGGCCUGAGAGGGUGAACGGCCACACUGGAACUGAGAUACGGUCCAGACUCCUACGGGAGGCAGCAGUGGGGAAUAUUGGGCAAUGGACGAAAGUCUGACGGAGCAACGCCGCGUGAGUGAAGAAAAGGUUUUCGGAUCGUAAAACUCUGUUGUCAGAGAAGAACAAGUUGGAGAGUAACUGCUCCAGCCUUGACGGUAUCUGACCAGAAAGCCACGGCUAACUACGUGCCAGCCGCCGC
This 493-nucleotide ribosomal RNA is filed under the name uncultured bacterium. RNAcentral describes it as "bacterial SSU rRNA". It matches the Rfam family "Bacterial small subunit ribosomal RNA", at positions 26 to 518 of the family's 1533-position model. The record is from RNAcentral.